Molecule: small RNA, 377 nt
Filed under: Histoplasma capsulatum
Lineage: Eukaryota; Fungi; Ascomycota; Eurotiomycetes; Onygenales; Ajellomycetaceae
Also listed under: 1 other name
Description: hypothetical RNA
Source: RNAcentral
UGGCCGAAUGAAGGAUCUCAUUAUAGUAAACGGAGUGAAUUACUACCCCCAUGAGCUUGAACGUGCUAUUGAAGAAGCCAAACUCCCUAGGUUGAUCCCUACGUAUACAGUCGUCUUCUCUCAUCGCCCCAAUGGCGCCUCGACUGAAAAAGUUGUGGUAGUGUUCUCUCCAGCGUGCGGUCAUACGAGCGCCGGAAGCUUUGCAGCUUCAUUCGAUGCGAUCUCAAAGAUCACCGCUCGGUUACUUGGGGUAAGUCCGUACCGGAUAGUGCCAGUUGACACAUCACUAAUCCUAAAAUCGACUCUUGGAAAAAUCUCAAGGCCAAAAAUUGCGGCAGAAUAUCUCGCUGGGGAAUACGAUACCUGCUAUGCGACGG